This 39413-nucleotide long non-coding RNA is filed under the name Brassica napus (rape). Its description in RNAcentral is "long non-coding RNA (BNAP_LNC017741)". Lineage: Eukaryota; Viridiplantae; Streptophyta; Magnoliopsida; Brassicales; Brassicaceae. The record is from RNAcentral.
CAUGAUGCAGAACUUGCCUAGGAUUGCAACUGGAGAGGUACGUUCGAGUUUCCAAUCUCCUCACGGUUUGACAUCGCCUCCUAUGUAUACAUCAACCGCAGGUUAUAUGACAUCUCUGAGCCCGUUUUACAAUCAUAACUUUCAGUCCUCGGGUAUGUACCUCCCUCAGUAUAAUUACAGCGGUUACCCUCCUGUCUCUGGCGUUGUCUCUCAGUAUAUGAGUGGAUACCCAUCUCAUGAAGCUACCAUUCCUAUGCCAUAUGAUAUCUCAUCGCCUUCUUCGGGCUACAACAACUCCUUCUCUCGUGGAUCCUUUUCACCUACUGCACAGAACACUCCUCUCGUGGAUCCUUUUCAGCUGCAAUAUUAUCAACAGGCUCAAGCAGAGGCAUAUGCUCCUUCUAAUAUGUACCUCAGAGCUGCAACUUUUUUUAGAAGCUUCUGAAUUGUUAUGUCUUCACAUGGAUAAUGGAUAAUUACGAAUACAACAACACAAUAUUGUAACACGAUACUAUCUCUAUUAUGCAAUACCUCUAGAUAAACUCUAAAAAAGUUUAUAAUUAUCUCCUCUCAGAAAAUCUAUACUACUCUAUAAAACUCGUGGUAUAUUUUAAGAAAAUCUAAAUUCUUUUAAAAUUAGUUAAAUUGUUUUUACAAUAAAAAUCAUCAAAAAUCUUCUAAACUCACAAACCAAUAAUAGCCCCUAAGACUACGAGCACAAAUCUCCUUGUUCAAUUCGUUCAAGAGAGGCCUAAGUAGCUCCCUAUUAAUAGUCUUAUCAAGUUUUAUCACUUGAGAAUUUGUUUCAAAGAGAGACUUCCACCGGGGAAGAAUCUCAGACUCUAUUGCUUCCCUAGCAAACCCAUUUGCCUCUGAAACAUCCUUGACAGACCCCAAAUUCUCCUCUAGCUUCUUCAGCUCUUGGUUGUAUUGCUCAAAAACAGACGGUUUCACCAGGCAACCAAUUUCGAGAGUGGAAACAAUGUGAGCUAAACCUCUGAUGGCAGAAACAAAAUCUUGUCGAAACGUCCCCAUCAGUUUUGAUUGAGUGGAUUUUCCGCCAUCGAUGUAGACGAGAUUCUUGGGUUUGAUAUAUGUUGCAUACACUUGUUGUAUGACACGGUACAAUCGUCUUACCGCGGGACCACGACGAUCCAUCUUUGUUUUAAACAAUGUCAAAAAACAGAAGUACGUCAUAGAACGUCUGUCAUCGGAUAAUAUGAACAUUGCUUCAGCCAUAAAGAGGGAGAGCUCAACUCCGAGUCGCACAGCUUCUUCUUUCUGCUCCUUCUCUUUGCUGACAUCAUCAGUAGUCCUGUAAAUAAAUAAAUAAAUAUAAGAAAAGUAAGGGAUUUAGACUUCCUCUCAAAGGGAAUGAAUAUCAUCACUGACCCAUUAGUGAAAGGGGAACAUCUAGACUGUGGUAGUCUCUUUGUGUGACGGAUAACACGGUCAGUCAUCUGUUUCAAGAUACAAAUAAUCAAAUUCAGAGUCAAAAUUUCUUAUCUAAAUCGAGCAAUGUAAAUAUAUGGAGAAGAACCCUAGAUCGUAACUGUAGCCUCUAAUUUUUUUAUCGACUGAAAACUAACGAUUCGAAUCAGGGCUUAUCGAUUCCUUUUUAUCCAUUUUUUUGUUGAGACGGUCAAAACUGAACCUCUGUUUACGGUUUUAGCAUUUAUCUAUGUAGAUAAAAAUAAUCUCAACCAUUCCCACAAUUAUCUCAACCGUUUUUAGAAUUUUAAUUGAUGGACAAAUCUAAAAAUAGUUUUGUAGUAUUAUAAAAUUUGACUAGAAUGAUCAAAAACAAAAAAAAAAUUGACUAGAAUAAUCACUAUAUACACAAAGAAUGAUAAAUAAUAUUAUAUUUACAUAAAAAACGUAUUUUGUAAAAACAAUUUGGAAACUUAUUCAUGUAAAACCAAUGUCAUACACUCUUGUGGAGAGGGAAAACUAGUUAUUGUAAAAUUACUUUUCGAAUUUAAUCUUUUAGCUUAUAAAAUAGGAUACAAAUGACAAAAGUCAGAAUCGUUUUCUCAAAAAAAUAUUAAUUAAUUAAAAUAGCAACUUUUAAAAAUUGCUUAGAUUUGCUUUUAAUAUUACAAACUAGAUUCCAAUUCACACUUCUAAAGUGUGGAAUUCUUUUUUUUUUGUAAAAUUUAGUUAGAGAGUUGAUAUACUUUUUGUUUUUUUUAUCUAAUUUAUAUUUUUAUUAUAACUAAAUUUUACAGUUUAAGUUGUAAAAAUUAUCUCAUCAAAUCAGUAACAAUAACAACAAUAUAUUAAUAUCUACAAACUUCUCCAGGAUAUUUUUGGUUUUUAUUUACAAAAUGUAAUUUAAUUUAAACUAUCUAUCUAUACUAUUAUUUAAGAAUUGAUUUCGCUUAUUUAUUACAUUUUCCAUGAUUUUAGGAUAAAUCACUAGUUCAAUUAAUUUAUAUUAUUAAAAAUAUUUUAAUAUAUAUUUAUUUAUCAUAUAACUAAACUUAUUUAUGAUUAAGUUAUUCUUUAAUUUUUAGUUUCAAUUGUUGUAUAUUUUGAUUUACGUUACUAAUUUUAUUUGACAAUAUAUACAAAAUGUUCUUUGAAUGAUUAUUUGAUCAACGGACCGAAGCAUAUGGCCUUUAACAGAUCAUGGAUCCUACACAGUUGAAAGCGGGUACUGGUUGGCAGCCAACAAUUUAACGCGUCUAUGUCUGCUUUAUCUCUAGUUGAAAAGACGGUCAUUGAUCCGAAGAAGAAGAUUUGAAAAGUCAAAACUCUGCCUAAGAUAAGAAUGUUUAUAUGGCGAGCUGUCUCUAGAACGUUAGCAGUAGCAGAUAGACUUCAAACAAGAGGGGUGCUGAUAGACAUGGAAUGAAAGCAGUGCAACAAUGAAAUCGAGUCUAUAAAUCAUGUCUUGUUUGAGUGUAUUCCAGCGCAAGACAUUUUACGGAUUGUUAACUUUCCUCCGUCUACAACGCCAGCUAGAAGUCUCGGUGAUAAUAUGAAUAUAGCUCUGAAGUUAAUGGCUGACUGUUCUGUUCCCGGAAACCUCUAGGAGAGCCAUUCCAUGGCUGCUAUGGACGAUAUAGAAGAACCGCAACUCCAUCCUAUACGCUGGCACACAAACUGCUAUAGAUUCUGUAAUACUCAUAUUUUCCAAAAUAAAAUAACAAAUAAUGAUCUUGAAAUCUUUAUUUAUUAAUCUUCAUGAAUCAUCUCCAAACACCAUAAAUCUAAUAAAUAGCAAUAAAUCCAGAUAAUCGAAUAAAUUCCAAAAAUACAAUAAAAACAUAAAAUUCGUAAGUCAAUAAAAGAAAGAAAUAAAACGUCCAAAAACAUCAAUCACUCAUGUGAGUCAGUCUCAGUGUUUGAAUGGGAGCACAUGAUAAAGACAGAUCUCAUGUCCUGUUUUUAUUUUCAUAUAUUUUCACCAUUCACACUUUUUGGUAUGAUAAACUUAAAAAGUAGGAAGACUGCAUUGGAUACUAAUUUUUUGUCUUCUUGUGAUAAAAGGCAGGUGUCCUGCAUUUUCUUCUUCCCGCAUAGAAAUAGAAGCUGUACAUGCAAUGCUUCUUUUAAUUAACCAAUAGGUGAAUUUCUAAUUUACAUUAAAUUUAAAGUAUUUAUUUAUAUCUAAUAUAAAUAACAGAUAUCAACACACACCAUUGAACUCAUUCAUUCUUGAGAAUAGACAUCAAUGUAUGCUUCUCUCCUUUUUGUCAAAUCUACUUUACUUUUUUCCUUUAUUUUAUAUCACUUCAUUAUAGCUAAUUUAGAAAUUUUCUUUCUAUUGAUUAAUAGGAAAUCACGGCUGAGAAAUAUGGCAUAGAGCAAGAGUCAAAAGACAUUAAAAGAGACAAGCAUUAGGUUUUACCUAUUUUCCACUCUUUAUUACUUUCUUAGAUUUGUUGAUUAAUUUUUUUUUGUGUUGAAUCAAUUAUUUUUCAGUGUUCACUAUUAUAAUUGAGUUCGACGAUAAAGCUAUUACUAGACGUAUCAGAAGGCUUGCAUUUCUGAACCAAAAGGUAAAUUUACUUUAAUUAAUUAUUUAAAGACAAUUUAUUGUAGUUUAUAAAAAUUAAAACAAAUUUGUAAAUUUAAAUCUUAUAAAUUCAACAAACUACCAAAAUAAAAAAAUAUGGUUUUUUUAAAUGUGUGUUUUUAAAUGUUUUAGGUAAAUUAACAUAAAAAUAUCAAUGAUAUCAUUAUUUUAAACUGAAAAACUAUUUUUAAAAAAGUAAAAGUUUUAGAUUUAUCAUAUCUUGAUUUACAUCAACUGAAAUCACAAAUUAUUUAUUUCUCAUAAUUGUUUUUAAAUACUACAAACAUGUGUCCACCUUUAAUAUUAUGUCACACUGUUGAUAUAGUAUUUUAAAAAUAUUCAUUGUUAUAAAAAAAUGAAAAUUAUGUCAAUAAUAAUAUAUAUUUUUAAAAAAUCAGUAGACUAUAAGAAUUAUACAUACGUGUGUAUAUAUAUAUAUAUAUAUAUAUAUAUAUGACCAUAUUUAUUUUAAAAAAACAGGAGACUAUAAGAAUUGUCAAAAUAUUUUUUUGUAAUAAUCAUUUAAAAAUUAAAAGAGACAAGCAUCGAGCAUAAGAAAAAUUAUUUGGGUGGAAAACUCAUACUUACACAACUCACGUACAUGCAGUGAUUUACUAGUUCAGACAAAAGGCAUUAAAAGAGACAAGCAUCAUGUUUUGCAUAUUUUCCACUCUUUACUAUUUUUCUUUGAUUUGUUGAUUAAUGUUUGUUUGGUUAAAUCAAUUAUUUUUCAGUGUUCUGUACUAUAAUUGAGGUUGACGAUAAAGCUAUUACUAGACACGUACCAAAAGGCUUGCAUUUCUGAACCAAAAGGUAAAUUUAUUUUUAGUUAAUUAUUUAAGGCCAAUUCAUUAUAGUUUAUAAAAAUUAAUUUUUGAAAAUACUACAAACAUGUUAAAAAUAUUCAUUCUAAUCAAAAAAUGAAAAUUAUGUCAAUAAUAAAAUAAAUUUUAAAGAAAACAGAAGACUAUAAGAAUUACAUAUAUAUAUAUAUAUAUAUGACCAUAUUUAUUUAAGAAAAUAGUAAACUAGAAGAAUUAUCAAAAUAUUUUUGUAAUAACCAUUUAGAGAUAAAUAUGAUUUUUGUACAAAUGACUAAGAUAAUGAAACUAUUUUCAUAAUUUGUUUCCUUAUAAAUAAUAAUUAUUUUCGAAUUCAUCAUAUAUAUAUAUAUAUAUAUUUUUUUUUUCUUUCUACAUUAUUAAUAAAUAUAUAGUUUACAAAAUUUGACAAAAAAAGUUAUAAACACAUAACAUGAUAGAAUUUACUACAACAUACUUAAUGAUACAGUUGCUUAUUUUUUUUUAUUAAAUAACUCAAACUAAUAGUAUUUGUAUAAUUUAAAAAAUGUAGGUAUGACGUCUAACCGCCAACAAAACACAACAUUUUCUGAUGAAAAAAAUAUAAAUCUUCUGUCGGCGCGGGUAAGUAGUUAAUAAUAUUUUUUUAAAAAGUUUUAGAAUAGUUUAUAUAUAAGUAAAAUGAUUGAAAUUUUUAUUAAUUUAUAGAGGGGAGACAAUUUUAGAUGGACACCUAAUAGAGAACGAGUAUUUAUUGAGUUAUACGAUCGAGCAAUUGCCAUGAGCGAUUACCGUUUCAAAGAUCCUACUCCCGCUGCUAGAAAGUUUAUUGUUGAUAAGUUCAAUCAAGAGUUUAAUAUUAACGUAACAUACCACUUCUUCACAGAAAAACUUGAUCAACUUAAAAGAAAAUACAAGAAGUACAAACAUCUUAUGAAAAAUUCUACGGGCAUUUUGGUUGAUCUUACUACAUCUGUGAUAUCUGCGUCUGAUUCAUGGUGGAAAGAUCGUGAAGUAAGUACAACAAUAUCUCUUAAAACCAGAGUAUAUUUAUAAAAUUAUCAAAGCUAUAAUAUUUGUAGUCUAAAAACUAUAUAAUCAUAUUAACAGGUAGACAUGAUUGUAAAAUCAUUUAAACGAAAGCCGCCAGAGCUUUGGGAUGUGAUGCAACGAUGUUUCAUUUUAUAUGACGUCCAAUCACAGUCUCAAUACUCUUUGCACCAAAGAAGAGAAGAGUUGAUGAAUGAUGGUCAAAAUAAUGAUGAAGGUUAUUAUUACUCUGAAACAUAUGGUGGUGAUAUGCAGCACACUCAGAUUCCUGAAACGCAAGGAAAUGAAGAAGUCUAUCGCGUUAAUAUUGAUGAUGAAAUACGUCAUUCAAAUGAGUUCAUCCGUGAUAAUCUACGUCAGAAUUCGUCACCCGCUGCUGAUUCUUUUCAGAUUCCCAAUUCCAGAGUUCAACAACGAGGUGGACUAAGGCGUGGAAGUAGUUCACAAAGAGCUGCAGGGAACUCUCAGACCUCUGUCAAAAGUGGAUCCCAAGGAAGUCGAAGAAAACAAUCAUUCGAGACAACCCUGACAGAUACAAUGACUGGCUUUAGAGAGUUUCAGCGCCAAAGUUUACAACAACUACGUCCAAAUUCUUUUGACGAAGAUGAUUACAAUGAAUUCGAUACUGCUGUCAAGAUAUUUGAAUCAAUGGAGCUUCCAAAUGACACCAAUUUCUAUUGGGCGUGCAUUCAUGCAUUCAAAGAAGAAAGAUUUUGGCGCAAGUACUUUAUUGACAGAGCUGAAAGAACCACAGAAGAUAAGUUGAAGUUUUUACAAGCUCUUACUGGAUAUACACGGGACAGCAAAUUCGUGGGAAAGCGGUUAGAAUCUGGACAAAAGUUUGGUAGUCCAACUUGUGGGCAAUGGAGUUCGGGUUUUCAACAAUGGGGAACACCUCCAAAUCCACUACAAUUGGGUACACCUCCAAGUGCUCCGCAAUGGGGACCACCGCCAAAUGCCACGCAAUGGAGUUCACCUUCAAAUGUUCCACAGUGGGGUACACCGCCAAAUGCCCCACAAUGGGGUAGACCACCAAAUGCACCGCAAUGGAGUUCAUCUCCAAAUGCUCCGCAGUGGGGUACACUACAUGUUCCACAAUGGGGUGCGCCUCAAAAUUCUCAACAAUGGGGUUCACCACCAAGCACUCAACAAUGGGGUCCUACAUCCGCGGUUCCACAAUGGGGCUCAUCACCGACCACUCAUCAAUGGGGAUCAUCACAAGAUGCUCCACAAAAUAUUCCUCCGAGAAAUGUUCAACGUGGAUUUUCCCUAGAAACAGAAGUACAAACUACAACACACGAAAAGGAAGUUCAUGUUUCCGAGAAUGUUAUUAGAGGAGUAUCACCGGAAUUUGGCUUUACGAACUGUGCUUCUACAAGUAAAGCAUCACGUCCACGAAGACGAGGUGGAUUAUUCAACAUUUUGGGAACUGAACGAGGACUCAAUCUAAAUGAAACACGAGAAAGUGAUUCCACAUCGGAUAACUAGCUUAAUAAGGUUUGUGUUUUGUUUUUAGUCAUUAUGUUUUGUUUCACAUUUUCUUUUGUGAUGUUUGUUUUGUAUUGUAUUUCUGAUUAAUGAUAUUUUUCAUUGAUUUAGUUUUUAUUGUGUGGUCAAUAUUUUCAGGCGUUUCGUAUAUGUCAGUUGCGGUCACAAAAUCCCCACAAUCUAAAUCACGAUGAAAGAAUUGAGUUAUGGAAUUUAGAAAAUGAGCAAUUCGAAGAGUUAAUAAUUCAGCCAUCAUUGAGUUAUUACAAUCGUUAUUUUGAAAGAAGACCAGUUCAAACCGAUGGUGGUUUAGGAUGGAGAAAAUAUGGCGUCGACUACAAGAAGAUGAUGCUGCAUGUCUUCAGUUACUACGAAUGUCUCUUGGUGUUUUCAGAUCUUUAUGUGACAUAUUGCAAUCAAAAUAUGGUUUACAUCCCACCCUUAAUGUAAGCAUUGAAGAGAGUGUGGCAAUGUUUUUGCGAAUUUGUGGGCAUAAUGAGGUUCAGAGAGAUGUUGGAUUACGGUUUGGACGGACACAAGAGACAGUGAAUAGAAUUUUUUUUGAAGUUCUUAGGGCGACAAAGUUACUUGCUUGUGAUUAUAUUAAGACUCCAACAAGACGAGAACUACUUCGAAUUUCUGAAAGGCAGCAAAUGGAUAGAAGAUAUUGGCCAUAUUUUAUUGGAUUUGUAGGAGCUAUGGAUGAAGUUCAUGUAUGUGUUAAAGUGAAGCCUGAACUACAAGGAAUUUACUGGAAUCGACAUGAUAGGACAUCAUUUAACAUCACGGCGAUAUGUGAUCUCAAUAUGUUGUUUACAUAUGUUUGGAAUGGAGCACCCAGAUCAUGUCACGAUACAGCAGUUCUCACGAUGCACAAGACGGCGAUUCUGACUUUCCUUUGCCUCCGGGAGACAAGUAUUAUGUAGUUGAUUCUGGGUAUCCAAAUAAGCAAGGUUUUUUGGCUCCCUAUAGAUCUUCUCGGAAUGAGGUUUUUAGAUAUCACAUGUCUCAUUUCAACAAUGGUCCUCCUCCUAAGAAUAAACAGGAACUGUUUAAUCGAUGUCAUGCAUCUCUACGUUCCGUUAUUGAAAGGACAUUUGGAGUUUGGAAGAAGAAAUGGAGGAUUUUGAGUUAUUUUCCAAGAUAUGAUAUUGCAGUUAAAAAAAUAGUGGUAAUUACUACAAUGGGAUUACAUAAUUUUAUCAGAAUUUCAAAUUAUUUUGAUGAAGAUUUUGUUGAAGAAAUGAGAUAUAUAAAUAUCAGCAACGGAGAUUCUGAUAGUGAUAUAGGCAACAUGGAGACAACAAAUAUGGCUGAUGGAGAUCAUAUGACAAACAUUAGAGACAAUAUUGCAGAUAUAUUAUGGGUAAAUCAUUAAAUUAUUUUACUUUUGUUUAUGUAUUUUUUUUGUGUUUUGAUAUUUUGGCGUAAUUUUUUUUUUAAAAUAUGAUCUGCACUUUUGAACUGUUUUUGCCAUUCAUAACUUUAAAAAAUAAUUUGUCCUGCUAUAUUUACUUCCACUAUAAAAGUGUAGCUCUAACAUCAACAACCAAGAUACCUAAACCACCACACACUACACACGAUGCGCUGAUAGUGCAUAACUAGAUCACACACUUCGCAUUCUCUUUAUAUGGAUAUAUAAAUGUGCAUCGUCGCUUGUACAGUCUGUCUCUCUACCCCGCCCACCCCAGUAACGUCGAUGGUACAAAGGUUUUUGCGCUACAUGCCCAACACAAGUAGCGUCGCUAGCCCAGAUGUCUCUGAACCCCCGCCCGCACAAUCACAGUAGCGUCGCUAGCCAAACAUCUUUGAGCCCCCACCCACGCACAUAGUUCAUACUCAUAAUUAUGUAUACAUAUAUACACAUAUAUACCAUCUUUUAACAACCACAAUCUAAUCAACGGUUGAAUCCUUUAGACUCCUAGUUCUGGUUUACAAUGAAUGAAAUAACUAUCAAUCACGACUCAUACAUGAUUCGAAAUCUAAAUUAACAUAGGAUGAAUUCUACACUAGUACGGAAUUAUGGAAUAGAUGUGCCUUGUACAACAAGACUUGGUCUAUGCCAUUACUGUCCAAGACAAUUAACCCGAAAGAUCAUGUUCGUUCCUGCGCAUGACAUAUCAGGGUUUAUGUUCCAAGGAUUGCUUGCGCUACAAGAAAUAUAGGAUGUACCACUUAAUUAACAAAGCUCAAGCUCACGGUAAUAUAUACUUCAUCUCCGAUGACAUGACUUACUCCUCCUUAUGGCUCACGAAGUCGUGAUCAACGAUGGUGGUGGUUGGUGUUAAACACCGCAGCCCCAUUUAUGGUCACGUCUUUUCUACGUCUAGUACGUAACUACCACAAGCACUGCCAACAAAAUUAUUAUAACAAAGCUUUGUCUCUGUUGAUUACAGCUAUGGUAUUUGGUGGUGAUAAUAACAUGACGUACCAAUAUUGAAGUGGUGAUCGAGAGUGAGUGACGGCGGUGGUGCAAGAAAGAGAGAUCGUGAUCUCCCUUGCUCGGAUAUAUACGGUGGUGGCUUACGUUGCCUACGGUAACAAAGACGAGGCUCUCUGGUGACGUGCGAAUCAUGGCGGUGCAGAUCUGUGGCUAGUCGUGAUAGAACGUGACGGCUCCGGUUUCACUUUCUCAUCUCGUCUUGAUCACAUUCCCACAACACCAAUCACAACAACGAUGGCUCUUCUCCAGUGAUGGAAGAGAACUUUGAUUUGAUGAGAAAAGGUGGAUGGAGAAGAAAAUGGUUCAGGGAUGGUUGAAUCUCCAUUGACUGCACAUAGCUUUAGGUUUUUUAGGAGGAGACUUAUAAUUAACAAUUAAAUAUAUAAUUAAGCAUAUGGUUUAUACAAAACCACUAAGAAAUAACGAUUUAGGUUGUGGUCCAAUAAUUAAUCAAAACCGGGUCGUUAUAGAAUCGUUGGUGGAUCAGGCGCUGGAGGAAGCUACAAUCUGGACUGGAGUUAACAAGAGUAAUGGACCAAGCUUGAUUCAUCCUUCUUCCAUAGAAAGUAUGUCAACGCUGGCAGGCUUCCCAUCACAGGCAGGGUAAAAUGCAACAUCAACUCCAACUGGAGAAAUGCGUCAUCCUUAGAUCACAAGAGACCAUCAAGUUGAUGUUCUGCAUCAUGCCCGAGACGCUUUUACUCCAUCCCCGAACAGAUUGACUGCAGAACUUCGCUGUAUUAUCUGGUCCCUUCGGAGCAGGCCCGGCCCUGGGCUAAAGCCCAUAAAGCUAUAGCUUUAGGCGCCAAAAUUAUAUACUUUAUAGGGGCGCCAAAUGUUGAUGCAUCCCUUUAGUGUAGUGGUUUGUCCGUAGCAUUCCUUCAAAUGUAGGUGAUGGGUUCGAAGCCCUUUCCAUAAUCACACGUUUUUAUAUUAUUUUUCUUUUUGAUAAUGGUAAUAAAUGAAAAGAUUUGACCAUUACAGAUUUUAAUUACCUUUCCUAACCACUUUAGUUUCCUUUAUCUACGGAUUAUAGUAAAUGAUAUUAACUUACAAAUUAAACAAAAGAUGAACUAUUAAUUUUGUUUUCUUUUUACUAAUAAUAAUAACUAAAAGAUUGGAUCAUAAAUAUUUUGAAUAUCUUUUCUAACAAAUUGACGUUCCUUUUAUAUAUGUGUUAAAAUACAUGAUAUAAAAUUAUAAAGUUACAAAAGUAAACAAAAACUAGAUUUUUUCGUUUUUCAUUUUUCUCUAUCUUUUUUUUAAGGCUUUCUUAAAAGAUAUCUUUAACAAAGAGGAAGAAAGGAUUCAUUCUUCUCUAUCUUUUUCUACCUUUCUCCAAGUUUCUAAUUUAAAAAACACAAAAAUAUGAAAUUAGCUUAUGGUGAUAAAAACUAAUUUAAAAAAAAAUUACAAACUAAAAUUGAUGUCGUUAUAUCAUAUAUGUUGUAUUUUUAUUUUCCAUAAUAUAUAUUUUAUUAUUAUUAUUGUAGGGUUGUUAAUGUUUUAUGUCUUUUGAUAAAAAAAAUUAGAAUGUUUUUAAAUUUUUUUAAAAAUAUUAGAGUAAAAAAAAUUAGAAUGUUUUUAAAUUUUUUUAAAAAAUAUUAGAGUAAAAAAAAUUAGUUAGGGGCAAUAUUUUUUUGGUGCGCUUUAGGUGCCAUAUUAAUUCGGACCGGCACUGCUUCGGAGUUUGGGGGAUUUGGGCUUCAAGGAUGUGGUGAUCGGGGUUGACAACCAGGAGGCCAUAAAAGAAAUUUCUAAUGCUUCAGCAUGGCCACGCUACAGAUCAUUUCUUGGAUACGAUUGCAGGUUUGCGCAAUAGUUUCGAAGCUGUACACUUUGAACAGGAAUCGAUGAAGACCAAUUUCAUUGCUCGGGACAUUUCUCAGAGUGUUCUUAGAGAUGGCAGAUAUCGGACCUACUUGGCGCUAGGAGGACCAGCAUGGCUGCAUAACAGGAUCAGGAAUGAAGCUCUAACCAUUGAAUGUUAAAUCUUUCCCUUAAGAUCUUUCUAUUGGUUUUUGAGCUUUGUUCUGUUUUUCAUUUGGUUGUACUUCCUUGUGAUACACUGCACUACCUCUUAAUUGAGUUCAGACGUUUUAAAAAAAGGAAUGAUUGUUUGAAGUUCAUUAGACCAAGUCUCUUUCGCCUUCGACUUUCCUUGAAUUUUCUCAAUCUUAGCUUCAUUAUCACUAGUCUUUCUCUUUAUUAUAUAUUUUCCUUAAUUUUCUCUGCUUUUCUUCUGCACCUAACUUCUCUCUUUUAGCCUUCUUAGCGUUCUCACCUGCUUCUGCAAGUGCUUUCAUUCUCGCAACCGUCUCUUUGUUUAUUAUUCCAGCCUCUCGUAGCUGUUGUUCUUUGUUUCUUUGGCUUCCUCAAUCUCAGAAUUUCAGCUGCAACCCUUGUGUUAGCUUAUUCUCCAGCCUUACGAGCACACUUGCUAGGCUCAUCAUACUCCUCUACUGUCACAAUUAGGUUUGACGGACAAUCAACAUUUUUUGUAUUCAAUUCAUGUUCACUCUUGAAAGGCCUUGAUGGCAGCUAAUGCCAAACUCUCUGAUGUUUUAGAGCAUCUUUAAUGGUAACCUUUUUUUUUUUUUACUUCAAAAAUGCGUAAAAUGAAGCACAUCUUCUCUAAUAGUUUGUUUCAUUUCUUUCUUGUAAAGGAUAUAUUCCAAGUAUAUUCAAUGUUCAUUUUAUUAUUAAUUAUUAAUAACACUUUGUACUUUUUCAUAUUUAGUAAUUUUACCUAAUUGUUUUGUUUUAACAAUAAUCCAACACAAUUAUUAUUUAAUAUAAAUUAAACAUUACUAUAUAAGAAAUUUAUUACAUAACAUGAAUAAACAAAAUAAUACCAUAUUUUGUAAAAAAAAACAUCUUACAUAUAAUUUUUUAAAUAAUUAAUAAAAGUGUUUAGAAGAAAAAUGUGAGUUUAUUUAUCUCCCAUUAUUUUAAAAAGAGUUAAAGCUCUUAAAAUGAAUAUCCUCAUGUUUUUCAAUAUAAAUAUCCAAUUAUAUGAAAAGAAUAGUCAAAAUUUUGAAAUUGAUUGGAUAAUAUUAAUACAUAUAAUUUAUUUCGACAAAAAAAAGAAUAAAUAAAAAUUAAAGACCAAUUUAUAAUUUAGAAAAUCAUGUUUACAAAAAUGAAGCAAUGAACAGUAUUGUUUCAAAUUUGAAGCACCGUUCAUUGCUUCAUUUUAAAGCAAGAAAUAAAACAUCAAUGGAGCACAGUUUGCUUCAAAAUGAAGCAAAAAAUAGAAAAUGAAACAUUAUUGGAAAUGGUCUUAGCAGCUUCAUUUUCUUUCUAAGCUGCAAAUAAACUGUUUUUCGUUGUAAUUGGUCCAGCCUUUCCCUUGGACUCAGCAAGAACAAUUUUUAUUUCGUUCCAUCCCUCCUCUUUGUUUGAUUGAGUCAUGUACUAUUUUUUUUCUUUCUCAAGUUUCAAUCUCAAGGAAGACAAGUAUACCUUUUAAGCAUUUUCCUUCAUAUGUUGUUUUCUCGAUAUUCACAUUCACUUCUUGGAGUUCCUUUUUUUUGCAAAAGGAACAAUUGUUUGCAUAAUGUAUGGACAUGUCCUGUAAUGAGAUCUCCAUUGUUACUACCAAGUCCCAUGUUUCCUCCUCCAGCUUGGAUGUUUGAUUACUGCGUUUUACAUAGAUCAAGUAACCUAAGGUGCACGCUACCACAAUCGAACGAUAUAUCGAUGUAGAUUUUAUGAUCGAAUCUACAGAGAACUAAAGAUUUAUAACACCAAAAAUACACCAGAUUUUUUAAUCUAAGCAAAUAGGAAAAUGAGAUGAAUCUAAACUAAUGAAAUAGAAUGACAACUAAAAGCAACUAUAAGAUAAACAGAAAGACAAGUUCUUAGGUCAAAGUUAUUGAUUAAAAUGAUCAAAUGCUAUCUCAUGAUGCUUAAACAAACAAUUGCUAAUUUUUGGACUUAAGAUCACUAAUUUAAGCUAAUCCACUCAUGUGGCAAUAACUCCUAUACUAAUCAAGUUCUUAACAUCAAUUCCUAUUAGUUAAUUAACAUCAAGUAUGCAUGAAUUUCAAGUCUUAAUAGUCACUAAAUCUCUAGCAUCAACUCCCGUUGGCUAAAAAAGUAACUAAAGCACAUUGAUUAGUUCAUUCAAAUAUUUCAUAUUCUUCUAGGCAUGAAACAAUGUAUGAUCUAGAUUAUAGUUUUCCAACCUUAAUCUAGCAUUAAUCACAUCAAUCAAGUAAAGAUCAUAGAGAUUAAAUCAUCCUAAUCUACUAAACCCAAAAACUCUUAGAGUAAGAACGUGACGGCUCCGGUUUCACUUUCUCAUCUCGUCUUGAUCACAUUCCCACAACACCAAUCACAACAACGAUGGCUCUUCUCCAGUGAUGGAAGAGAACUUUGAUUUGAUGAGAAAAGGUGGAUGGAGAAGAAAAUGGUUCAGGGAUGGUUGAAUCUCCAUUGACUGCACAUAGCUUUAGGUUUUUUAGGAGGAGACUUAUAAUUAACAAUUAAAUAUAUAAUUAAGCAUAUGGUUUAUACAAAACCACUAAGAAAUAACGAUUUAGGUUGUGGUCCAAUAAUUAAUCAAAACCGGGUCGUUAUAGAAUCGUUGGUGGAUCAGGCGCUGGAGGAAGCUACAAUCUGGACUGGAGUUAACAAGAGUAAUGGACCAAGCUUGAUUCAUCCUUCUUCCAUAGAAAGUAUGUCAACGCUGGCAGGCUUCCCAUCACAGGCAGGGUAAAAUGCAACAUCAACUCCAACUGGAGAAAUGCGUCAUCCUUAGAUCACAAGAGACCAUCAAGUUGAUGUUCUGCAUCAUGCCCGAGACGCUUUUACUCCAUCCCCGAACAGAUUGACUGCAGAACUUCGCUGUAUUAUCUGGUCCCUUCGGAGCAGGCCCGGCCCUGGGCUAAAGCCCAUAAAGCUAUAGCUUUAGGCGCCAAAAUUAUAUACUUUAUAGGGGCGCCAAAUGUUGAUGCAUCCCUUUAGUGUAGUGGUUUGUCCGUAGCAUUCCUUCAAAUGUAGGUGAUGGGUUCGAAGCCCUUUCCAUAAUCACACGUUUUUAUAUUAUUUUUCUUUUUGAUAAUGGUAAUAAAUGAAAAGAUUUGACCAUUACAGAUUUUAAUUACCUUUCCUAACCACUUUAGUUUCCUUUAUCUACGGAUUAUAGUAAAUGAUAUUAACUUACAAAUUAAACAAAAGAUGAACUAUUAAUUUUGUUUUCUUUUUACUAAUAAUAAUAACUAAAAGAUUGGAUCAUAAAUAUUUUGAAUAUCUUUUCUAACAAAUUGACGUUCCUUUUAUAUAUGUGUUAAAAUACAUGAUAUAAAAUUAUAAAGUUACAAAAGUAAACAAAAACUAGAUUUUUUCGUUUUUCAUUUUUCUCUAUCUUUUUUUUAAGGCUUUCUUAAAAGAUAUCUUUAACAAAGAGGAAGAAAGGAUUCAUUCUUCUCUAUCUUUUUCUACCUUUCUCCAAGUUUCUAAUUUAAAAAACACAAAAAUAUGAAAUUAGCUUAUGGUGAUAAAAACUAAUUUAAAAAAAAAUUACAAACUAAAAUUGAUGUCGUUAUAUCAUAUAUGUUGUAUUUUUAUUUUCCAUAAUAUAUAUUUUAUUAUUAUUAUUGUAGGGUUGUUAAUGUUUUAUGUCUUUUGAUAAAAAAAAUUAGAAUGUUUUUAAAUUUUUUUAAAAAUAUUAGAGUAAAAAAAAUUAGAAUGUUUUUAAAUUUUUUUAAAAAAUAUUAGAGUAAAAAAAAUUAGUUAGGGGCAAUAUUUUUUUGGUGCGCUUUAGGUGCCAUAUUAAUUCGGACCGGCACUGCUUCGGAGUUUGGGGGAUUUGGGCUUCAAGGAUGUGGUGAUCGGGGUUGACAACCAGGAGGCCAUAAAAGAAAUUUCUAAUGCUUCAGCAUGGCCACGCUACAGAUCAUUUCUUGGAUACGAUUGCAGGUUUGCGCAAUAGUUUCGAAGCUGUACACUUUGAACAGGAAUCGAUGAAGACCAAUUUCAUUGCUCGGGACAUUUCUCAGAGUGUUCUUAGAGAUGGCAGAUAUCGGACCUACUUGGCGCUAGGAGGACCAGCAUGGCUGCAUAACAGGAUCAGGAAUGAAGCUCUAACCAUUGAAUGUUAAAUCUUUCCCUUAAGAUCUUUCUAUUGGUUUUUGAGCUUUGUUCUGUUUUUCAUUUGGUUGUACUUCCUUGUGAUACACUGCACUACCUCUUAAUUGAGUUCAGACGUUUUAAGAAAAGGAAUGAUUGUUUGAAGUUCAUUAGACCAAGUCUCUUUCGCCUUCGACUUUCCUUGAAUUUUCUCAAUCUUAGCUUCAUUAUCACUAGUCUUUCUCUUUAUUAUAUAUUUUCCUUAAUUUUCUCUGCUUUUCUUCUGCACCUAACUUCUCUCUUUUAGCCUUCUUAGCGUUCUCACCUGCUUCUGCAAGUGCUUUCAUUCUCGCAACCGUCUCUUUGUUUAUUAUUCCAGCCUCUCGUAGCUGUUGUUCUUUGUUUCUUUGGCUUCCUCAAUCUCAGAAUUUCAGCUGCAACCCUUGUGUUAGCUUAUUCUCCAGCCUUACGAGCACACUUGCUAGGCUCAUCAUACUCCUCUACUGUCACAAUUAGGUUUGACGGACAAUCAACAUUUUUUGUAUUCAAUUCAUGUUCACUCUUGAAAGGCCUUGAUGGCAGCUAAUGCCAAACUCUCUGAUGUUUUAGAGCAUCUUUAAUGGUAACCUUUUUUUUUUUUUACUUCAAAAAUGCGUAAAAUGAAGCACAUCUUCUCUAAUAGUUUGUUUCAUUUCUUUCUUGUAAAGGAUAUAUUCCAAGUAUAUUCAAUGUUCAUUUUAUUAUUAAUUAUUAAUAACACUUUGUACUUUUUCAUAUUUAGUAAUUUUACCUAAUUGUUUUGUUUUAACAAUAAUCCAACACAAUUAUUAUUUAAUAUAAAUUAAACAUUACUAUAUAAGAAAUUUAUUACAUAACAUGAAUAAACAAAAUAAUACCAUAUUUUGUAAAAAAAAACAUCUUACAUAUAAUUUUUUAAAUAAUUAAUAAAAGUGUUUAGAAGAAAAAUGUGAGUUUAUUUAUCUCCCAUUAUUUUAAAAAGAGUUAAAGCUCUUAAAAUGAAUAUCCUCAUGUUUUUCAAUAUAAAUAUCCAAUUAUAUGAAAAGAAUAGUCAAAAUUUUGAAAUUGAUUGGAUAAUAUUAAUACAUAUAAUUUAUUUCGACAAAAAAAAGAAUAAAUAAAAAUUAAAGACCAAUUUAUAAUUUAGAAAAUCAUGUUUACAAAAAUGAAGCAAUGAACAGUAUUGUUUCAAAUUUGAAGCACCGUUCAUUGCUUCAUUUUAAAGCAAGAAAUAAAACAUCAAUGGAGCACAGUUUGCUUCAAAAUGAAGCAAAAAAUAGAAAAUGAAACAUUAUUGGAAAUGGUCUUAGCAGCUUCAUUUUCUUUCUAAGCUGCAAAUAAACUGUUUUUCGUUGUAAUUGGUCCAGCCUUUCCCUUGGACUCAGCAAGAACAAUUUUUAUUUCGUUCCAUCCCUCCUCUUUGUUUGAUUGAGUCAUGUACUAUUUUUUUUCUUUCUCAAGUUUCAAUCUCAAGGAAGACAAGUAUACCUUUUAAGCAUUUUCCUUCAUAUGUUGUUUUCUCGAUAUUCACAUUCACUUCUUGGAGUUCCUUUUUUUUGCAAAAGGAACAAUUGUUUGCAUAAUGUAUGGACAUGUCCUGUAAUGAGAUCUCCAUUGUUACUACCAAGUCCCAUGUUUCCUCCUCCAGCUUGGAUGUUUGAUUACUGCGUUUUACAUAGAUCAAGUAACCUAAGGUGCACGCUACCACAAUCGAACGAUAUAUCGAUGUAGAUUUUAUGAUCGAAUCUACAGAGAACUAAAGAUUUAUAACACCAAAAAUACACCAGAUUUUUUAAUCUAAGCAAAUAGGAAAAUGAGAUGAAUCUAAACUAAUGAAAUAGAAUGACAACUAAAAGCAACUAUAAGAUAAACAGAAAGACAAGUUCUUAGGUCAAAGUUAUUGAUUAAAAUGAUCAAAUGCUAUCUCAUGAUGCUUAAACAAACAAUUGCUAAUUUUUGGACUUAAGAUCACUAAUUUAAGCUAAUCCACUCAUGUGGCAAUAACUCCUAUACUAAUCAAGUUCUUAACAUCAAUUCCUAUUAGUUAAUUAACAUCAAGUAUGCAUGAAUUUCAAGUCUUAAUAGUCACUAAAUCUCUAGCAUCAACUCCCGUUGGCUAAAAAAGUAACUAAAGCACAUUGAUUAGUUCAUUCAAAUAUUUCAUAUUCUUCUAGGCAUGAAACAAUGUAUGAUCUAGAUUAUAGUUUUCCAACCUUAAUCUAGCAUUAAUCACAUCAAUCAAGUAAAGAUCAUAGAGAUUAAAUCAUCCUAAUCUACUAAACCCAAAAACUCUUAGAGUAUUACUCACUGAUUUCCAUGAAACCAAACAAACUCAUGAUAGAUUGUUAGAUAAGCAAAAGAUUAAAAAAUAGAUAAACAAAUGUUAACAAAAUAAAUCAUUAAAUCAAGCAAGAUUCAAGAUUAGAACAAAAGAAAUUCAAAUAAAAUUAAGGUUAUGUAGUUUUUGGGUUUUUAUUGCCCUUAAAUAUCUAUUUAUAGAUUUUCUAAAUCAAAUCUAAUUAACCAGAUUAAACCAUGAAAAAUCUGGAUAAAAGCUUAUUUUUAAAUGCCAAACGCAAUUUUUCCAGUCGCAAUAGCUAUCUUCCCAUCACUGCGUUUUCAUCAAUCUGCGUUUUCAUCAAUCUGCGUUUGAUCUAACAACUUUCAAGAUUUUCACCUUCCCUUCUUUCUAGAAAGCUUCAGUUGAAACCGUGGAGUAUAUGAACAAACCAUGGAAUGGAGUUGAAGAGAAAUGGAGAGCAGGGCCUCUCUUGCGUUACAAACUUACAGACCAUGGAGAGCAAUGUAAGUUAAAGACUUGACUUGCAGUUUAACAUCUCUCUUAUUUGUCAAAUUUAAGAGAUACGUAUGGCGAUGAAGAAAAAAGAUCGUGGGUCGUGCUGAGAAACUGCUGAUAGGAUGUGUUUUUUUUUCUAAAAAUUAUCUUGUUUUAAUUGAAAUUUUUUAUUAAGUUAUGCUCCUCCGCGUGUUCAGGACCGCAAUCUUCGUCGUGUUGUGGGUCGUGCUCAGCUCCUCUCUCGUUGCCACAGGCUAUUUCCUCCAUGAAUUUAACAGGCCAUGACCAUCUCUUCUUCAUCCGCCGCGAUUCAAGCUUCUACUGUCGCCGGUUCAUCAUCAACGCCUCGCCGUCGUAGCCAACGGAGAUCGGGAUCUCGGAAUCGCAGAGAAAGCUUGACCACGAGCAACCGUGGUCAACUUUAGCUUAUUUGCGCAUCUGGUCCUUUCUCUUUCAGAUAUUAUCAAAUUGACCCAGAAACCUUUGAAAAUGCUAAUACGUCCUCACGAAUCAACCCCAAACUUUCGAUUAAACAUUCUACACCUCCUCCUAAUUGAACAAUGGUCCCUCCUCUUUUGGUGGUUUUCAAAGCGGCCACAAACUUUGUAAUUUGCAAGAUUAACCUCACGAGUUUGCCCCAAACUUCUCAAACGUGCACUUUAGUUUCUGUCAAAUGCAAAUGAACAUAUAAAUGCAAUACAUACAUCUAAAUGUUUCCUAAAAUAAUUAAAAUGAACUAAAAACAAGUGUUAAAAAGCUAUAAAAACAUGAGAUAUCAAUGUUUCCAUAUGAUCAGACAAUUCAUUAAAAUAAUCAAUGAACAACGCUGAAGCACCUCACAUACAUGGAGUCUGAGUUUUCGUGGCACAUACAUAUAUAGUCACAGUCGGAGAUAUUUGCGACCGAGUUACCUUAGAGUUCGAGUGGCACGUGAUAAGCUGUGGGUGCAGACUCAGUACCGGUCCUGAGAAUAUAAGGCUAGAAGCAAACUGGAAAUCAAGGCCUGUUUAUUAGGUUAUUUGAUGCAAAUGUAGAAGGGAGGAUUUGAACACGUUACCUGGUUAUUAGAAAACAACUCUAUAGACCACUAAACUACUUGAAGCGUUUGGGAAUUAAUGGCCGGUUAAAUACUUAGAUAAAACAAGGCCCGAAGCCUAAGCUUCUAAUGCUUUCCCUCAGGACCGGUACUUGGUGCAGUUUAACUACUGGUGUAAACUAGCUAGCAGUGCCGGUUUUGAGGGUGUGCGGACAGUGCAUUUAUACUGAUUCCCACUUUUUUAAAAUAUUGUAGGGUCUAAAAUUUCUGAAAAUUUGCGAAAUAAAGUUCAAAAUUUCACAAAAAUAGUUAAUACACCUUAGUUUGUUUCUGUUUUAUAUAUAAUUUAUAUAUAAUUGCACAAGGGCCAAACAAUUUUUGAGCCGGGCAUGUAGACUAGUUGCUGGAAAUAAGAUGAAAUGAGCAGUUUUGGAGGUACAAAAAUAUUGAGCUAUGAAUGCUUGAAUAGCUGGCAUCUCAAAGUUGGUUUUGUGGGUGUUUUCACCAUCCAUGGACGGACAGCCAUCAAUUAUUAUUAUUCAAAGGUGAAUUUUAAAAAAACUCUGAAAUUAUUGAAUCUGACAUUUCAUAAAAUAUUAUGAACUUCAUUAUUAUUUUUGUUAAAAACCUGCUGACGGCUAGGACCUAGGAAUAUAUUUCCUAGUGUAAAUAUCUGGCUUCAUUGUAGUGUGGGAGUAAGAGUUAACAAGCGACCUCAAGUUUCCUUCAGAAUCGUGGUUGCUCUUUUGUGUUCGUAAUUUCCUUUUGCUUUAUUGGUUAUGAUAUUUCGUGACUUGUGUCUUUUCUUUUCAUUUAGAUAAAGUCGGUUUUCAAUAACAAAACAAAUGCUUCAUUGUGUUCGUAUACGAGAUUACUUUCGGCAGAAGGCCAUGCUCCAGACAGAGCAGAGGAUUCAUUGGUUUGUGGAAGUAGGUUGUGGCCUUACGCAGAUAUGAGGAGGGUAGGAAAAAUACCAAAACUGUUGCCACACCGACUUUUCCCAUCAGCAAGGUGAGUCUUAUGUGAUAGUGGUAACUCUCACUUUGAUUGGUCUAACUAGCACAUAAUAUAUAACUAACUUGUCACGCCAAGCCACUAGUUUUUCAUUCUGAUCAACAGAAGACAAAAGUCGUGUGGAGAUUAAAAAUAAGUUCUAUGAACAUACUGAAUGAGAUAUGCAAUACCCACCGAAAAGCUUCUCAAAUCGGACCAAUUUUGUAUCAACACACAAAGAAACUCAUGUGAGUGGUUUAUUCUUUACUAACGUUCUCGUCGUCUAUCAUAUAAAACCAUCACCUUCCUCAGACCUCAGCCUCAUCGACAUCAUCAUCAUCUUGGUUUGGGACCCCCUCGUUUUGAAUCUCCUCGUUUUGAACCAAAGCAACUUCAGCAAUGUUCUCCUGUUGCACAGCUGCACCGUCAAUUUCCGCAGCUACACCAUCAGCAAUAUCCUGCAUGUUCACGUUCUCUUUCAUAAGAGUAUUACAGAGUUCCAUGAACUAGAUUUUUAAGUUCCUUAUUCUUUGUUUUGUGUAUGUCACAGAUAAGAGGAAAGGCGUAAAACUAUACAAACGCACUGCAAAGAAUUCUACAAGACUGGUUUUAGAAUUUACCGCAUGUUCCAUGAUCAUAUCUUCACCGUUCACAACAGCAAUGCUCUCCUGUUGCAAGCAAAAUGUUCCAACCAUAAGUCAAGUAUUGAAGAGUGCAAAGACCUAGAUUUCUAAGUUCUAUGUCACAGAUCAUAGGAGAAACGUAACAUUAUAAAGAAGUUUACAAGACUGUGAGUAAUUACCGCAUGUUCCAUGAUCAUAUCUUCACCGUUCACAACAGCAAUGUUCUCCUGUUGCAAGCAAAACGUUCUAACCAUAAGUCAAGUAUUUAAGAGUUCAAAGACCUAGAUUUCUAACUUCUAUGUCACAGAUCAUAGGAGAAACGUAACAUUAUAAAGAACAAGACUGUGAGUAAUUACCGCAUGUUCCAUGAUCAUAUCUUCACCGUGCACACCAGCCUCAUCAUCUUCACUCAAAGUAUCCUCUAUCAACUGGAUAAGCGCCAGCAUUUCAGCAUCUUCAUCUUCUUCUUCUUGAACCGCCUCGUUUUCGUCGUGUUGGAGCAUCGCCUCGAAAUUUUGCUGGACGUUUGCGUUCUCAACCAGAUUAUGUGGCAUGUUCCCGUUCUGAACCAGAUUAUCCUGAACGUUCGCGUUCUGAACCAGAUUAUGAUGUGCGUUCCCGUUAGCGUUGACGUUAUGCAGCUCUGGAAAGGCGCCAUCUCCGCCGCCAUUGCCGUUGGGGUGAUUUCCAUUAGUUGAUGAAGACGAUAGGUUCUUGGCUGAGUUCUUGAUGUUAUUGUUCUCUAUUUAUGUACGUUAGUGAUAAGGGAAAGUGGAAACUCGCAACUCGAGAUUUUAAACGAGCAAAACUUGUAUUCCAAGAAUUACCAUGCAGUUCUUUGUCAAACAAAAAAAAAGAAAUACGAGGAAGUUUUCUUCUUUCUUUUUCAACUGUAUUUUAUUAGUGGCACCAGGCCUAAAAAGGCGAGGCCCAACAAAAAUAAACACAAAGGGGCCAACAGAAGCCCAAAACUAUUCAGUAACAAUUGGUUUCUCAAAUUCUCCUCAAGACUAUGUGGUUUAUACAAUCACAUGGUGAUCACACCCUCUUUACAAGAUUCACAAUGGAAUUUUCAUUGCUACUCUGGCUUAUGUGGAUGAUAAUCAUCACAGCCAGUGAAUCCUACAUUGCAGAUUCAAUUGAAUGAUUUCUUCAAGAUCACAAAGAUCUUGGUAAUCUCCAAUACUUUUUUGGUCACAAAUUGCUCGAUCCUCCAAAGGUAUUUCAGUCUGUCAACAAAAGUAUGUCUUGGAGCUCAUACAUGAUUCCUUGGUUGUAAACCAUCCUCUAUAUCUAUGGAACCUAAUCAUUCAUUGCACAAGGAUAAUACUCCUCUCUUGACAGAUGCAGAAGGUUACAAACGAUUCAUUGACGACAAGCUUUAAUAUCUCUUUUCAACUUGUCCUGACAUCAAUAUGUUGUCACUAAACUUUGCCAAUUUUGUUAGGCUCCCAGAGAGGUACGUUGUCAGGCUGCUCAUAAGAUUCUCAGAUAUCACAGUGGAAGUAUUGGAGCAGGUCUUUUCUUUUCAUCUGAUUUAGAUUGGAUAGUAGAUCCAUAUAUUAGACUAUCUGUUUCAAGCUUUUUUUAUCUUUAUUGGUGACUCUAUUAUCUCAUGGAAAAUAAAGAAACAUGACACUUUUCAUUGACCUCAACUGAGGCUGGAUAUAGAGCUAUGUGUUUUGCUACAAAGGAACUUAUCUAGCUUACCAGUAUUCUGAAGGAUCUCCAUAUACUUUCACCUUUUCCAAUUUUCUUAUACUACGCGACAGGCUGCAUUUCACAUUGCAAAGACCCAUGCCUUCCACGAGAAAACGAAGAAUCUAGACCUUGAUUGUCAUAUGGUACACGAGUUAUCACAUCAUGCUUCUUAAAGACACUCUAUGUUCGAAGUGAGCAUCAACUUACAGAUGGUCUUACUAAGCCAAUGUACCCAAUUCAGUUCAUAAAUCUCACAUUUCCAAAAUGGGACGUCUUAACCUUUUACGGUAUUGGUCGAGUAAAGUUUACUUAAUUAUUUAUUUUUGGGUUUCCCGGUUCAUUCGCAAGCGACUAGGAUUGGUGGCCAAAACUCGUAAAGCUGGUAUGCGUCUGGUUUCUUUUUGUUUUAUGUUUUGUGUUCAUUGAAAGAGUGAAAUUCAAUACUGCGUCUUGCGUAUUGAAUCAGCUCGUCUUCAUGAGCCCUAAAUCUGGAUCAAAUGCUAGUAUGGACCAUUUGUGGUCCAAAAAAUCUCAUUUAGACCCAUCUUUUUUUCUUUUCAUUUUGUAUUUAAAUUUAAAUAUAAAUUUAAGUAAAAUAACUAAAAAAUCUAAAGACUUAAACAUAUUUACUUACCCAUGCCAUUAUUAUCCGAUCCAGAAUCCGACCCACCCGAAACCCGACCCAACUAACCUAAAUCUUCUUCUUCUUCUUCUCCCUUUCUUCUCCAUCGAUAGUUUUUAUUUUUUAAAAUAAAAUCAAAAAAGUUUUUCAAUUAUCCGCUAAUUUUCCCUUUUUUAUACCAAAUCGAUCAACCCAUAAUCAUAUUCAAUCAAUUAUAACUUACCCAGAAUCAAAUUUCAUCUUUUACGUACUAGAUUCAAAAUAAAAAAAAACACAGAAUAUUACUAGUAUAACUAGUACAACUCAAAUUAGUAUAAUUAGUACAACUAAAACAAAUAUAACUAGUACAAAUAGAUUGAGUAUAACUAAUAUAACUGGUACAAAUACAAUGCGUAUAACUAGUAUAACUUUGCAGUUAAUAUGAAGAUAUUUGGUUUUUGUUUUCAGAGUAUUAAUGAUGCUAUAGAAGAUGAUAAUGCAUAACCAAUAAAAGUAUUGGUAUAAUCCUCCUGCUUAUAUGUGUCAAAAUAUGUUAAUAAUUUUUUUUCGAUAAUAUUUAAUUUGGAUAAUGACUUUGUUUUACUAGUUAUACUAGUGUACUAUUUAGGAAAAAAAUGCAUCUUCAUUCUUUAUGUUCUNNNNNNNNNNNNNNNNNNNNNNNNNNNNNNNNNNNNNNNNNNNNNNNNNNNNNNNNNNNNNNNNNNNNNNNNNNNNNNNNNNNNNNNNNNNNNNNNNNNNNNNNNNNNNNNNNNNNNNNNNNNNNNNNNNNNNNNNNNNNNNNNNNNNNNNNNNNNNNNNNNNNNNNNNNNNNNNNNNNNNNNNNNNNNNNNNNNNNNNNNNNNNNNNNNNNNNNNNNNNNNNNNNNNNNNNNNNNNNNNNNNNNNNNNNNNNNNNNNNNNNNNNNNNNNNNNNNNNNNNNNNNNNNNNNNNNNNNNNNNNNNNNNNNNNNNNNNNNNNNNNNNNNNNNNNNNNNNNNNNNNNNNNNNNNNNNNNNNNNNNNNNNNNNNNNNNNNNNNNNNNNNNNNNNNNNNNNNNNNNNNNNNNNNNNNNNNNNNNNNNNNNNNNNNNNNNNNNNNNNNNNNNNNNNNNNNNNNNNNNNNNNNNNNNNNNNNNNNNNNNNNNNNNNNNNNNNNNNNNNNNNNNNNNNNNNNNNNNNNNNNNNNNNNNNNNNNNNNNNNNNNNNNNNNNNNNNNNNNNNNNNNNNNNNNNNNNNNNNNNNNNNNNNNNNNNNNNNNNNNNNNNNNNNNNNNNNNNNNNNNNNNNNNNNNNNNNNNNNNNNNNNNNNNNNNNNNNNNNNNNNNNNNNNNNNNNNNNNNNNNNNNNNNNNNNNNNNNNNNNNNNNNNNNNNNNNNNNNNNNNNNNNNNNNNNNNNNNNNNNNNNNNNNNNNNNNNNNNNNNNNNNNNNNNNNNNNNNNNNNNNNNNNNNNNNNNNNNNNNNNNNNNNNNNNNNNNNNNNNNNNNNNNNNNNNNNNNNNNNNNNNNNNNNNNNNNNNNNNNNNNNNNNNNNNNNNNNNNNNNNNNNNNNNNNNNNNNNNNNNNNNNNNNNNNNNNNNNNNNNNNNNNNNNNNNNNNNNNNNNNNNNNNNNNNNNNNNNNNNNNNNNNNNNNNNNNNNNNNNNNNNNNNNNNNNNNNNNNNNNNNNNNNNNNNNNNNNNNNNNNNNNNNNNNNNNNNNNNNNNNNNNNNNNNNNNNNNNNNNNNNNNNNNNNNNNNNNNNNNNNNNNNNNNNNNNNNNNNNNNNNNNNNNNNNNNNNNNNNNNNNNNNNNNNNNNNNNNNNNNNNNNNNNNNNNNNNNNNNNNNNNNNNNNNNNNNNNNNNNNNNNNNNNNNNNNNNNNNNNNNNNNNNNNNNNNNNNNNNNNNNNNNNNNNNNNNNNNNNNNNNNNNNNNNNNNNNNNNNNNNNNNNNNNNNNNNNNNNNNNNNNNNNNNNNNNNNNNNNNNNNNNNNNNNNNNNNNNNNNNNNNNNNNNNNNNNNNNNNNNNNNNNNNNNNNNNNNNNNNNNNNNNNNNNNNNNNNNNNNNNNNNNNNNNNNNNNNNNNNNNNNNNNNNNNNNNNNNNNNNNNNNNNNNNNNNNNNNNNNNNNNNNNNNNNNNNNNNNNNNNNNNNNNNNNNNNNNNNNNNNNNNNNNNNNNNNNNNNNNNNNNNNNNNNNNNNNNNNNNNNNNNNNNNNNNNNNNNNNNNNNNNNNNNNNNNNNNNNNNNNNNNNNNNNNNNNNNNNNNNNNNNNNNNNNNNNNNNNNNNNNNNNNNNNNNNNNNNNNNNNNNNNNNNNNNNNNNNNNNNNNNNNNNNNNNNNNNNNNNNNNNNNNNNNNNNNNNNNNNNNNNNNNNNNNNNNNNNNNNNNNNNNNNNNNNNNNNNNNNNNNNNNNNNNNNNNNNNNNNNNNNNNNNNNNNNNNNNNNNNNNNNNNNNNNNNNNNNNNNNNNNUGCUCAGAUAUCACAGUGGAAGUAUUGGAGCAGGUCUUUUCUUUUCAUCUGAUUUAGAUUGGAUAGUAGAUCCAUAUAUUAGACUAUCUGUUUCAAGCUUUUUUUAUCUUUAUUGGUGACUCUAUUAUCUCAUGGAAAAUAAAGAAACAUGACACUUUUCAUUGACCUCAACUGAGGCUGGAUAUAGAGCUAUGUGUUUUGCUACAAAGGAACUUAUCUAGCUUACCAGUAUUCUGAAGGAUCUCCAUAUACUUUCACCUUUUCCAAUUUUCUUAUACUACGCGACAGGCUGCAUUUCACAUUGCAAAGACCCAUGCCUUCCACGAGAAAACGAAGAAUCUAGACCUUGAUUGUCAUAUGGUACACGAGUUAUCACAUCAUGCUUCUUAAAGACACUCUAUGUUCGAAGUGAGCAUCAACUUACAGAUGGUCUUACUAAGCCAAUGUACCCAAUUCAGUUCAUAAAUCUCACAUUUCCAAAAUGGGACGUCUUAACCUUUUACGGUAUUGGUCGAGUAAAGUUUACUUAAUUAUUUAUUUUUGGGUUUCCCGGUUCAUUCGCAAGCGACUAGGAUUGGUGGCCAAAACUCGUAAAGCUGGUAUGCGUCUGGUUUCUUUUUGUUUUAUGUUUUGUGUUCAUUGAAAGAGUGAAAUUCAAUACUGCGUCUUGCGUAUUGAAUCAGCUCGUCUUCAUGAGCCCUAAAUCUGGAUCAAAUGCUAGUAUGGACCAUUUGUGGUCCAAAAAAUCUCAUUUAGACCCAUCUUUUUUUCUUUUCAUUUUGUAUUUAAAUUUAAAUAUAAAUUUAAGUAAAAUAACUAAAAAAUCUAAAGACUUAAACAUAUUUACUUACCCAUGCCAUUAUUAUCCGAUCCAGAAUCCGACCCACCCGAAACCCGACCCAACUAACCUAAAUCUUCUUCUUCUUCUUCUCCCUUUCUUCUCCAUCGAUAGUUUUUAUUUUUUAAAAUAAAAUCAAAAAAGUUUUUCAAUUAUCCGCUAAUUUUCCCUUUUUUAUACCAAAUCGAUCAACCCAUAAUCAUAUUCAAUCAAUUAUAACUUACCCAGAAUCAAAUUUCAUCUUUUACGUACUAGAUUCAAAAUAAGAAAAACGCAGAGUAUUACUAGUAUAACUAGUACAACUCAAAUUAGUACAACUAGUAUAACUAAAACAAGUAUAACUAGUACAAAUAGAUUGAGUAUAACUAAUAUAACUGGUACAAAUACAAUGCAUAUAACUAGUACAACUUUGCAAUUAAUAUGAUGAUAUUUGGUUUUUGUUGUCAGUGCUAUAGAAGAUGAUAAUGCAGAACCAAUAAAAAUAUUGGUAUAAUCCUCCUGCUUAUAUGUGUCAAAAUAUGUUAAUAAUUUUUUUUCGAUAAUAUUUAAUUUGGAUAAUGACUUUGUUUUACUAGUUAUACUAGUGUACUAUUUAGGAAAAAAAUGCAUUUUCAUUCUUUAUGUUCUCGUAGCAAAAGAAGGUGGCUGCAAAGCUUAGGGGUGGACGUUCGGGUACCCAUUCGGAUUCAGUUCGUAUCUAUUUGGAUUUUGUGUUUUCGAGUUUAAAGAUUCUGGCUCCAUUCGGGUAUAUUAAAAUUUUGGUGCAGGUUCGUUUCGGAUCUUUGCGGGUUCGGUUCGGUUUCGAUAAUCCGUUUAAAUUAUUUUAAUAAAUUUUAAAUUCAUAUAUAAUUUAAAUUUCUCAAAAUCUAUAAAUAAAAAAAAUAUAUAACAUAAAAUUUUGAAUAAUGUAUGCUAAAAUACCUAUACUUAACCUAAAAAUUAGUUUAGCUUGAAAAUUUGGAUGGAGAAUCAAUCAAUAGACAUUUUAAGUAUUUUGGUGUUUUGAGUUAGCUAUUUUAGAUAUUUAUUUUUGACUAUUUGUAUAUAUUUUUAAAUAUUUUAGACAAUUUCAAAAUAUCUUAUACAUUUUAGAUAUUUUUUUGGAUAUUAUAUCUAAAAAUAGCUAACAUAUUCAGGUACAUAAUUCUAAUUUGGAUAUAUUCGGGUAUCUAUAAUAUUUCGGUUUGGAUCGGGUUCGGUUCUGGUUCUCUAGAUACCAAAAUUUUGAACCCAUUCGGAUAUCUAACCAAUUUUGGUUAAAGUUCAGUACUAUUCUUUGGAUCAGCUUUGGUUCGGUUUUUAUGGAUUCAGAUAUUUUGUCCAACCCUAUAUUUUUAUUGUGACAAAAUUUUAAACGAAAAUGAUGAUAAUUCAUAUUGAUUUUGGGUAUGCAACAAUUUUUAAACCAAAACACAUAUUACUAUGUACGUGAUCCAUUUAGUCAAUCAUUAAAAACUGUUCUAGGCUAAUUUAAGAAAAUGAUGAUGGUUCAUAUCGGUUCUAGGAAAAUUUCAAAAUUAAAAUAUUAAGGUCUCAAUACUCUUUCAAUGCAAGUUUAAAAAUUAACAUAUUUAUGUAUUUUUAAAUGGUACAUAGUUUAAUUUAAACAAUAUUAAUAUAAAUUCAAUGAUGUUACUGAUUUGAGAUCAAUGGUGCGUGUCUGAGUUGCUAUCUGCUAGAUAAACCUAAUAGGUUUCCUGUAUGACUAUGUCCGAAUUGACCAGAGGACUUUCAAUGUUUAAAUUCAUGUUCGUGGUGGCGAGCAGUUUUAACUUCUCACCUCUUGGUCUGUUUGUUAACAUCGAUAAAGCCUGCAAAUUUUCUUUGAUUUCUAACAUUAUGUAUUGGUGCACAGACAUAGCCUGGGAGAGGUUCUAAAUGCUCCCAACGUGAUGAAUUUGAUCAAAGAUACCAAAGCAGCAAAAGAGGUGAUUUAGAAUGUCAAUUAGCUUGAUAUUUCAAAUUUCUCACUCAGAGCUGGUUUAGCGUACACGUAUUUUUCACUGUUUUAAAUGGAUAGGAAAUGCCUAUUGAUCAACUUUUGAGUGGCCAACUCAGAAGAUGCAUUAUGAAUACUCUACUAGCAAGGAACAAGAAUGAUCUACACUAAAACAUCCUAGAACUAACCUAAUCACCCUUAAUCUCCCUAACCCAUGAAUUCAAAAGGUGAUUACUCACUAAUCUCCAUGAUUCCUCUUAAACUCAUAUUGGAUUUCAGAUUAACCAUGUAGAGAAAUAGAUAAGAAAACAACAAGAACACAAGAUGAAAGCAAUGAAAUCUGAAUCAAAAGAGGUUUUUUUUACUAGUUCUUCUCUAGAAAAAGAGAUUAUCUCUCGCUCCCCUCUUACAAAAAAUACUUAACUUAGGUUUAGAAAAUGUAAAAACACCAAAACAAAUGACCAAAAGGCCCCUGAAAUAACAUAAAAAUCGUCCAAGCAAAACACGCGGAGUGACCUAGCAUAGUCGCUCCAGGAGGUCACUCCCGACGCGUUUCUUUGUGUCUCGACCCGUCAAAACGCGAGUGACUUGAGCUGGUCGCUCUGGCUGGGAGUGACUUGAGCUAGUCGCUCUGGCUGGUCACUCUGGCUGGGAGUGACCUCGGUAGGUCGCUCUGAGAGGUCACUCUGCUGGUCGCUCUGGCUGGUCGCUCUGGCUGGGAGUGACUUGAGCUAGUCGCUCUGGCUGGUCGCUCUGGCUGGGAGCGACCUCGGUAGGUCGCUCUGAGAGGUCACUCUGCGAUGCUCGACCAGGAUGGAUAUGCCUCUAGUAAAUUGAUCAUAACUCCUUCAUUACAUCUCCAAAUGACUUGAAACCACUUCCAUUAGAAAGCUAACUCAAUUUUCUGUGUCUCCACAAAAUCUUAGCAACAGGAGAUUUCUCUAAAGGCUCCAUCCAUGCUCAUCUUUCACCUCCUUUUGGAUCACAAUGCUCCCAAACAUCUCAAAUCACUCCAUGGCACACUCCAACACCUAAUAAGGACAAUGAAUGCAAAAUGAAACCUAGACAUGACUAAAUCCUAAUCUUUAUGAUGAAAAUGCUCAUGGAUGAAUGGAUAAAACAAUGUAAAUAUGCAAGAUAUUAGGUGCCAGAAAAUUCUUCAACCAUUGCUCUAAAGACGCGAAUCACCGGAAAGAAGAAAAAAAUUGGGUUUGAUGUAUGAUUUUUGUUUUUUUUUUUGAAAAUAAUUGUUUUAAUCGUGAUGUAUUAAUACAAUUGUUAUCGACAAUUGUACAAUUUUAGUUUGUUUAUCAAGAUAAUAAUAGCUAUUAGAAAGUAACAAAAUUGCAACAAAUAAUACAAAUAAUCGGUAAAAAUAUUAAUUAAGAAUUACUUACCAAAAUAAAUCAUUUUAAUCAAAUAUUUUUUUUAAAUUACAUUUAAUUAGUAAAUGAUAUAAAUCAGCAGUUGUAAAUGAUACAUAUUUUUGAAUAACUUCUUAAAAUUGAUACUAAUUUUGUGUAAAAUGAAAUGAUGCAAAUAAUUUAUAUUUUUACAUAUUUAAAUGGGAUGAUAUAUUUAAGUUACAACAUGAUGCAUAUUUAAAAUAAUACUAAAUAAAAUAACAAGUAGUUGUACCAGUUUUCUAGUUGUACCGACUGUACAUAGUUGUACUAGUUUUUGAGUUGUACCAGUUUGUGCAUAGUUGUACUUUGGCAGUGAAAUCAUAAAAUAUUAGUUGUACCACAUAAUAAAUACAUUUACCUCAGUUGUACCACUUAUUUAUGUUUACAUGUCUUUGUCCGGUUACAAUGAAAUCAUCAAUUUUGUAAAACUACAUUUCAUGUAUGUUUUCCAAAAAUUAUGUGGACAAACACGUUAACAAACAUUAAAAGUAUAAGGUAGAUCAUGUAAACUUAUGGAAUUGUGUAAUAAUUUUUAUAUUUUUUUAAAAAACUUCAAAUUAAAUUAAGAGAAACUUUAUGAGUACAUACCAACUGGGAUAUAUGAUUGUUUUUCUCAUAUGAAAUACCAAAUUGGUUUUGUUAAUUUCUGAAACGUCGAAGUUGUACUAGUUAUACUAGUAAUACUCGUCUAAUAUAUAAUAAAAGUUAUAUAUAUAUAUAUAUAUAUAUAUAUUGUUUAUAUGUCUAGUUAUAAGGGUUGUACCAAUAUUUUCACAUCAUAGCUUUAUAAAAUAUGUUCGAUGUUUGAUUAUCAUAAAAAUAUGGCUAAUAUAGUUAAUAACCUUAAAAGUAUAAAAUAUAUAAUAUAAAAUUAAAUGUGUAAUGCAAUAAUUUAACAAAAAAUUGAAAAAUCUUAAAUGAAUUAGAUGACAUUUUUGUCAUCAUAUACCAAUUAGAAUAUUUAUUUAUUUUAUUUCAUGUGUAAAUUAUAACAUUUGUAUACUAAUUAUAUAAUUUUUUAAAAUGUUUAGUUUUACGAGUUAUACUAGUUUUACCAAUUCGAAUGAGAGAAUGAGAUAAGGAAGAUUGUAUGGAUGUGAGUGGCUGAGAUUAAAGAAAGAGAAGGAGGAAGAAUUAGACAUGUGUGAAAUUGUAUGACCAAAAUUAAAACAUAGAUGUGACGAUCCAAUGGCUCAUAUUACUCUUUCAUUAAUGGCAAAAUCGUCAUUUCCCAUGCUGUAGACUUUUUUUUAAUGCUGUAGAUUUUUUUUUGACCAUUUGGUCUAUAAGAGAAUUUUGUCCCCUAAAUCUCCACUAUAAGCUGAUGUUGAUUUAAUCUCAUCAACGCCAAACAUAGAAGUGGUUUUUCUUUAUAUUUUAUCUGUUUACGUUAAGACAGAUUACAAUCUCUUUUUAUCUCGGACCAGACAGCUCAACAGCAUGAAGAUUCUCAGUAGAAUCAAGGAUCCAAUCAGAGGUGGGAUGAGAAGACAGCUCCACUUCCUACCUGAUCAUCUUCAAGCAUUCGAACAAAGUCAGACAUCAUAGGCCGUUGCAGUGGUGAGCUCACUUGUAUGAGCUGUUCUAAUUGUGCUUCUGUGUAAUUUACGUGCAUGUCAGGAUCCACAAGCAUCUCCAGUUUCUUCUCCUUCAAAAGCCAUUUCAUUUCACAUGAGAAAGAAGAUCAAAUGAGAGAUUAAGCUUUUGAGAGUUUAUUAAUGGGCCUCUAACAGAUAAUCAAUACCGAAUCUAGAAGGCAUAAAGUCAUCGUCAUUGGCCAGCUUUGCAAGAUCAAAAAGCUCUCUAAUCUGUGAUCAGUUCCAAAAGCAUGAUCCCGUAGCCUGAGUAGAUUUCUGUGAACAGCCAUUGCUUAUCAUCUCCACUUCUGUUUGAAACUGGAGAUCACCACCUGGUGUGCGCUCUUCUUCUUCAAACCGUUUGACUGCCACAAGUGCUCCAUCAGCAAGACGGCGGCCUUUGUAGACUUUACCGAACCCACCUCGUCCCAAGAUGUUUUUUUUUUAUUGCAAAAGCUAUCAGUUGCUACUUGAAGUUCCCGUAGAGAGAACCGCUUAAGCUGCCCCAAUAUGAAUUCUACAACCCCUUUGCAACUGGUUCAGUCAUCUAUCGAAAAGGUAUGAUUGUCUUAGAAAACAAUGUAUAUAUGUGCUUCGUUUGGUGUCCAAUAAGAUUCAAGUCUCUCUUUUGCAGAAGAGGGUGAAAGCGAAGGAGCUUUCCAAGAAGACAAAUGGGCUGAGAAAGAAGUCUUGGCCUCAGACAUGGGAAGGUGUGCAGCUCUUGUUUGCAGCCAUUGACAUCAAACUAGCAACAAGGGUUUUGAGGAUGGGGAAGAUCAGUAAAGAGCAGCUACUAUGGUGUGAAGAGAAGAUGAAAAAACUCAACUUUUCUUCUGGAAAGCUUCAAAGACACCCAUCUCCUAUUCUUUUCCCUUCUUGUUGAUACUAAUAACGAGGUUGAUACAAUGAUUUCAGAUCUAGUUACCAUCUUUUUUUCAGACAAAUUAGUGAAUUGAUGCUGUGUGUUUCUAUGUGCUUAAUUAUCUUUUGCAUUAAGGUUUUAAAUCCAAGAAGAGUUGUUUUAUGGUCAAUUAGAUUCAGUAUUAUAUAUGUGUUGUCGUUUGGAUGUAAGCACAUAAGAAAGAAUCCAAUGUUGUCUUGUUGAUGGGAAGCUAGAUCUUAUGAUGGUGAUGGACAAAUCUUAUUCUUGUUCUAUCACUUUCAUUGUUUUUGGACAAAGUCUUGAUGCGUCACUAAAGAUCUUUGCUUUACCAUCAUGCUUCAUAUUUAAACCAAAUCCUAAAACUAUAAAUGAGAACAUUAUAAAUCUGUAUACUGCUUCUGUUUCUAAAGACAAUAUUAAAUUCUUGUAAAAAGUUUUUAACAUUUGAAGUUAAAUUUGUGUAAGUGGCAAAAAAGAGAAGAAAAAUAAACAAAAGUGUGUUUUUUUUUUUGGAUCAAAAAACAAGUGUGUAUUUUGGUGGUAGCAACAGGCAACAGGCAACAAAGACAGAGCCACGUGAACGUAUCUCUUUCAAUUUGAAGUCUCAACACGUGUCGAACCUAGUCAUCAAUUUUACAGGAAAUGUAAGAAGACGAAAAAGGGUUGACUGUAUCACCAUUAUCAAAGAACCAGAUUGUGGGUACUUCAGUCAUUACACAGCUAAGAGGACAUCUUCGUGUGCGAAUCCGUCGUGAUUCUUAAUUAAGUUUUGGUUAAUAUUGUUAAAAAAAGAGAACGUAAAUUAAAGAUUAAACAUCCCCAAUAAUUGUCUUCGAAAAAAUAAAAUAAAAACAAAUUAACUCUUGACUUGGUGACUCGACAUAAGCAUUGGGACAAACUUUUCAAAGGGGUUAAGUUUUAAUCUCUCUGGGUCUCAUCUCAUCUCUGCGACAAUUUCAUAUCAAGAAAAACACUUUCAUGGAGGAUUAACCAUCACCAUCAGGUAACUCUUUAACUCUUAGCUUCUGCCUAAGUUUUAUCUGGUUUUUGUUUCUUUCACAAGUUAUGCAAGGAGGAGCUAGUUUUAAAUGAAUAAAGAAGGAUAAAGUGAAGUUUCUGUUUGUUAGAAUUUUGAUCCUCGGUUAUGGACUUUUACUCUUUCUAACGAGGUUGAUGAACGAGUCCAAUACUUUUAAAAAGAUGAUCCUUGUAAGUUCUUGCUGAUGGUUGUUUGGGUUGACUAAACUUUUUAGCUUGUGAAAUGGUAGAAUCGUGUCUGAAAUUUCGAUCCUUGAUUGUCGAUUACACAUAGACUCAAAAAUAAACGUUUGAUCAUUGAAAGUUAGGGAUCAUAUCUUAUAAAGUUCUCAGCUUUUUUUUGAUUCUCUUAUGGACUAAGGUUUUAGCUUUACCUUUUUGGGUUAGGUAUUAUAUUAUGUAAUCAAUCACCUUGUCUGAAAAAUUUGAAUUUUUUUUGGUUGAUGUGUAUAGAGAGUAUGACGACGCAGAGCGCUAUGAGGAUGGUGGAAGGUGAUCAUGUAAAAAGUUGGCAGGCUUCCUCUAGGGAUACUAGUGGGAUAUUUGGUUCACAUGAUAUGGCUGUUGAAGAUUUAAGGUUCCUUAUGGAAAGAAAUAGAUUGGAUAGUAGUGGAAGUGAUCAUACAGGUAAGAUCCCUAGUAGGAGUGGAAGCGCGCCGCCUAGCAUGGAAGGUUCAUUUGCAGCUCUUAGGAAUCUCUUGAAACAUCAGGAAGGUAGUUUUAGUAGGUCUAUUGAGAAUUAUGGCUCUGAAGAAGAGAUACGUAGCGAUCCUGGUUAUGUAGCUUACUAUUUGUCCAACAUCAACCUGAAUCCGAGGCUCCCUCCUCCGUUGAUCUCACGUGAGAAUCAGCACUUGCUGCGUCAUUUGGGUGGUGAUGGUAAUAACCUGAGUCCAACAGCGUCUUGGGAUGAUAUGGGGGUAAGAUCUUCCUUGCUUGCUUCUAGAACUGCGCUUUCUACACAUAGAGAGGAGCCUGAGGACGAGGCUUCUUCUGGUGAACAGCUGACUUUUGCUUCUUUGCCUGGUCGUCGUAAGAGCUUUGCUGAUAUCAUUCAGGUACUGCUUGAUUCUAUCACUUAAUUUAAUUUUACAUUAAAGAAGAUUCUCUCUUUUAACGCUUUCUUUUGUGUUCAAGCGGCCUCAUUCGGCAGGGAACCAUCCAACAGCAGAAGACAUACAUGCCAUUUCUUCUGGUAUAGCUUCAGAAAGGACAAGAAGAGUACCAGAGUCUGAUAUAAGUGUGGUGAAUCUUCUGAGGGAGACAGAUUCUCUCUCCAUGGAGGCUAUUGCUAGUGAAGAUCCUUUUACCUCUGAGUUGAGCUCACAAAGUUCAACCAACACUCAGAAUGAGAGAUCAAAUGCGAGGGUAGGGAGCCGCGAGGACAACAAUCUAUCUGCUUUUGGUGCUUCUGGUCCAUCCUCUGCUGCUUCUAGAAUGAGGGGGAACCAAGAAGAGCCAAGGAGAAUGCCUGUGCAAUAUACGCCUUCAUCGUAUCAGGUUCAAGCUACUUCGCCACAACAAAUGACCUAUCCGAGGAUGGGUGGUGGUACACACGACAUGAUGCAGAACCUGCCUAGGAUUGCAACUGGAGAGGUACAUUCGAGUUUCCAAUCUCCUCACGGUUUGACAUCGCCUCCUAUGUAUACAUCAACAGCUGCAUAUAUGACAUCUCUGAGCCCGUUUUACAAUCAUAACUUUCAGUCCUCGGGUAUGUACCUCCCUCAGUAUGGUUAUAGCGGUUACCCUCCUGCCUCUGGUGUUGUCCCUCAGUAUAUGAGUGGAUACCCAUCUCAUGAAGCCACUGUUCCUAUGCCAUAUGAUAUCUCAUCGCCUUCUUCGGGCUACAACAACUCCUUCUCUCGUGAAUCCUUUUCACCUACUGCACAGAACACUCCUCUUCAAUCUGUUUGGUGAGAUUGGGCACCAACUUGAUCACCUCAUCAGCCUCUUCCACACGCUUACGCAGGCGUUCGAUCUCCUCCUGGACGCCUAUUACCCAAGGCUGACGAUAAUGAAAUCCAUCAGCCUUGGGGACAACAAAAAAAAACAUCAGACAACAUAAAAAAAAAAUUCUAUACUAAUAUAUGCGUCUGUUGAGGUAUCUCUUACCUCGUAGUUUAUGCAGCUGAAGAAGCGCUUCCCAGGAUGAGUGUCGUGCUCCUCCUUCACCCGAACCUCGUCAAUGAUUCUCCCACCACAGGGACAUCUUCUAGGAAUCCCAUAUUCAGAAUCUGCGACGUAUCCCAACAUGUUGCAGUACUCCUGAUGCCUCUUUGUAUCUCUUCUCUCCUCUGCGGGAUCCAUCUGAACCAGACAAGCAAACGGCUUACAACAAAAUCACAAAAUUAUAUCAUGAACGGAACCCAUAAUGGAACCCACUAUUCGAUAACAAAACGCUUCGAUCUAACCCAAAAUGAAACCCAGAUGACGAUUCGGAACCCUAGAAUCGAAACCCCCAAAACUCGAGUUUGAACCCUACCUCCAAUACCCCACUAAUCGACAACUAAACGGUUCGAUCUUACCCAAAAUGUAACCCAGAUGACGAUUUGGAACCCUAGAAUCGAAACCCCCAAAAUCGAGUUUGAACCCUAAUUUGAGAACCCCACUAAUCGACAUCAAAACGCUUCGAUCUAACGGGUAUUCACUCGACACACACCUAUUCUCGUCGAGGAGACACUCCGUCGUCGAUUCGAUGGAGAAAAGUGGAGAAACGUGAAGAAAAAUCAAAAUCGCUCGAGAGUUCGCCUCUCGGGAGAAAACCCUAGUCUUUUCUGGAAAAUGAGAAAAUGAAUUUCUCUCUGUUUUCGUCGUCGUGACGUCAACAACGCGGCGCCAAUGGAACCGUGACACCUGGCGUGAACCCGCCUCAUACCGAAUCACUUGUAAGAAGCGGGUCGCGGAAAUAAACCCAUUAAAACAUUUCUUUUUCCUAUUCGGGCCUAUGAACCCGAGCCCAUGAACCCCAUUACAACCUUCAAUGUGGAUGCUCUAAAAACUAUAAAUGAGAACAUUAUAAAUCUGAAUACUUCUUCUGUUUUUAAAGAUUAUUACUCGUAUAAUUCUUGUAAAAAUUCUAAUUAGUGGCUAAAAAGAAAAGAAGAAAAAUAAACAAAAGUGUGUAUUGUGUGUAUUUUGGUGGUAGCGAGCAAACAGGCAACAGAGACAGAGCCACGUGAACGUAUCUCUUUCAAUUACAAGUCUCAACACGUGUCGAACCUAGUCAUCACUUUUAGAACAAAUUGACGAAAAAGGGCUUGCGGUACCACCAUUAUCAAAACCAUACAGGGGGUGUUCCAGUCAUUACCUAGUUAAGAGGACGUCUUCGUGUGCGAAUCCGUCGUGAUUCUUAAUUAAGUUUUGGUUAAUGUUUUGUUAAAAUACGUAAAAAUUAAAGAUUAACAUCCCAAUAAUUGCCUUUAGAAAUUAAAGAAAAAAAACAUUAACUCUUGACUUGGUGACUCGACGAAAGCCUUGGAGACAAACUUUUCAAAGGGGUUAGUUUUAAUCUCUCUGGGUCUCAUCUCAUCGCUGCAACAAUUUCAUAUCAAGAAAAAAAAACACUUUCAUGGAGGCUUAAACAUCACCACCAUCAGGUAACUCUUUAACUCUUAGCUUCAGCCUAAGUUUUUGUGUUCUUUCACAAGUUAUGCAAGGAGCUAGUUUUAAAUGAAUAAAGAAGGAUAAAGUGAAGUUUCUGUUUAUUAGAAUUUUGAUCCUCGGUUAUAUAUGGGACUUUUACUCUUUGUAACGAGGUUGAUGAACGAGUCCAGUACUUUUAAAAAGAUGAUCCUUGUAAGUUCUUGCUGAUGGUUGUUUGGGUUGACUAAACUUUUUUAGCUUGUGAAAUGGUAGAAUCGUGUCUGAAAUUUUUCGAUCCUUGAUUGUCGAUUACACAUAGACUCAAAAAUAAACGUUGAUCAUUGAAAGUUUGGGAUCAAGUUCUCAGCUUUUUGAUUCUCUUAUGGACUAAGGUUUUAGCUUUACCCUUUUUGGGUUAGGUAGUAUUAUUAUUAUGUAAUCAAUCACCUUGUCUGAAAAUUUUGAAUUUGUUUUGGUUGAUGUAUAGAAAGUAUGACGACGCAGAGCGCUAUGAGGAUGGUGGAAGGUGAUCAUGUAAAAAGUUGGCAGGCUUCCUCUAGGGAUACUAGUGGGAUAUUUGGUUCACAUGAUAUGGCUGUUGAAGAUUUAAGGUUCCUUAUGGAAAGAAAUAGAUUGGAUAGUAGUGGAAGUGAUCAUACAGGUAAGAUCCCUAGUAGGAGUGGAAGCGCGCCGCCUAGCAUGGAAGGUUCAUUUGCAGCUCUUAGGAAUCUCUUGAAACAUCAGGAAGGUAGUUUUAGUAGGUCUAUUGAGAAUUAUGGCUCUGAAGAAGAGAUACGUAGCGAUCCUGGUUAUGUAGCUUACUAUUUGUCCAACAUCAACCUGAAUCCGAGGCUCCCUCCUCCGUUGAUCUCACGUGAGAAUCAGCACUUGCUGCGUCAUUUGGGUGGUGAUGGUAAUAACCUGAGUCCAACAGCGUCUUGGGAUGAUAUGGGGAUAAGAUCUUCCUUGCUUGCUUCUAGAACUGCGCUUUCUACACAUAGAGAGGAGCCUGAGGACGAGGCUUCUUCUGGUGAGCAACUGACUUAUGCUUCUUUGCCUGGUCGUCGUAAGAGCUUUGCUGAUAUCAUUCAGGUACUGCUUGAUUCUAUCACUUGUUUCUAAAAAUAUUAAGGAAGAUUCUCUCUUUUAACACUUUCUUUUGUGUUCAAGCGGCCUCAUUCGGCAGGGAACCAUCCAAUAGCAGAAGACAUCCAUGCCAUUUCUUCUGGUAUAGCUUCAGAAAGGACAAGAAGGUUACCAGAGUCUGAUGUAAGUUCGGUGAAUCUUCUGAGGGAGACAGAUUCUCUCUCCAUGGAGGCUAUUGCUAGUGAAGAUCCUUUUACCUCUGAGUUGAGCUCACAAAGUUCAACCAACACGCAGAAUGAGAGAUCAAAUGCGAGGGUAGGGAGCCGCGAGGACAACAAUCUAUCUGCUUUUGGUGCUUCUGGUCCAUCCUCUGCUGCUUCUAGAAUGAGGGGGAACCAAGAAGAGCCAAGGAGAAUGCCUGUGCAAUACACACCUUCAUCAUACCAGGUUCAAGCUACUUCGCCUCAACAAAUGACCUAUCCGAGGAUGGGUGGUGGUACACACGACAUGAUGCAGAACUUGCCAAGGAUUGCAACUGGAGAGGUACAUUCGACUUUCCAAUCUCCUCACGGUUUGACAUCGCCUCCUAUGUAUACAUCUACAGCUGCAUACAUGACAUCUCUGAGCCCGUUUUACAAUCAUCAUAACUUUCAGUCCUCUGGCAUGUACCUCCCUCAGUAUAAUUACGGCGGUUACCCUCCUGUCUCUGGCGUUGUCCCUCAGUAUAUGAGUGGAUACCCAUCUCAUGAAGCUACCGUUCCUAUGCCAUAUGAUAUCUCAUCGCCUUCUUCGGGCUACAACAACUCCUUCUCUCGUGGAUCCUUUUCACCUACUGCACAGAACACUCCUCUAGUGGAUCCUUUUCAGUUGCAAUAUUAUCAACAGGCUCAAGCAGAGGCAUAUGCUCCUUCAUUUGAUUCGUUCGGGAAGCAAGACCAACAAGCUGCUGGCUUUAUGGCGGCCAAUCAAGAAC